This 440-nucleotide ribosomal RNA is filed under the name uncultured bacterium. Its description in RNAcentral is "bacterial SSU rRNA". It matches the Rfam family "Bacterial small subunit ribosomal RNA", at positions 339 to 796 of the family's 1533-position model. The record is from RNAcentral.
CUACGGGAGGCAGCAGUGAGGAAUAUUGGGCAAUGGGGGAAACCCUGACCCAGCAAUGCCGCGUGAGUGAUGAAGGCCCUAGGGUUGUAAAGCUCUUUCAGCGGGGAAGAUAAUGACGGUACCCGCAGAAGAAGCCCCGGCUAACUUCGUGCCAGCAGCCGCGGUAAUACGAAGGGGGCUAGCGUUGUUCGGAAUUACUGGGCGUAAAGCGCGCGUAGGCGGAUUGUUAAGUCAGGGGUGAAAUCCCGAGGCUCAACCUCGGAACUGCCUUUGAUACUGACGAUCUUGAGUCCGGGAGAGGUGAGUGGAAUUCCUAGUGUAGAGGUGAAAUUCGUAGAUAUUAGGAAGAACACCAGUGGCGAAGGCGGCUCACUGGCCCGGUACUGACGCUCAUGUGCGAAAGCGUGGGGAGCAAACAGGAUUAGAUACCCCGGUAGUCC